UACGUAGGGUGCAAGCGUUACUCGGAAUUACUGGGCGUAAAGCGUGCGCAGGCGGUUAUGCAAGACAGAUGUGAAAUCCCCGGGCUCAACCUGGGAACUGCAUUUGUGACUGCAUGGCUAGAGUACGGUAGAGGGGGAUGGAAUUCCGCGUGUAGCAGUGAAAUGCGUAGAUAUGCGGAGGAACACCGAUGGCGAAGGCAAUCCCCUGGACCGGUACUGACGCUCAGGCACGAAAGCGUGGGGAGCAAACAGG
Molecule: ribosomal RNA, 253 nt
Filed under: uncultured bacterium
Lineage: Bacteria
Description: partial 16S ribosomal RNA
Rfam family: Bacterial small subunit ribosomal RNA
Source: RNAcentral